This 184-nucleotide ribosomal RNA is filed under the name uncultured bacterium. RNAcentral describes it as "partial 16S ribosomal RNA". It matches the Rfam family "Bacterial small subunit ribosomal RNA", at positions 1316 to 1500 of the family's 1533-position model. The record is from RNAcentral.
CUGCAUGAAGUCGGAAUUGCUAGUAAUCGCGGAUCAGCAUGCCGCGGUGAAUACGUUCCCGGGCCUUGUACACACCGCCCGUCACACCAUGGGAGCCGGUAAUACCCGAAGUCAGUAGUCCAACCUCGUGAGGACGCUGCCGAAGGUAGGAUUGGCGACUGGGGUGAAGUCGUAACAAGGUAAC